UGGCGGACGGGUGAGUAACGCGUAAGAACCUGCCCUUAGGAGGGGGACAACAGCUGGAAACGGUUGCUAAUACCCCAUAAGCUGAGGAGCAAAAGGAGGAAUCCACCUAAGGAGGGGCUUGCGCCUGAUUAGCUAGUUGGUGAGGCAAAGGCUUACCAAGGCGACGAUCAGUAGCUGGUCUGAGAGGAUGAUCAGCCACACUGGGACUGAGACACGGCCCAG
Molecule: ribosomal RNA, 222 nt
Filed under: uncultured bacterium
Lineage: Bacteria
Description: partial 16S ribosomal RNA
Rfam family: Bacterial small subunit ribosomal RNA
Source: RNAcentral